RNAcentral lists this ribosomal RNA (241 nucleotides) under uncultured bacterium. RNAcentral's name for it is "partial 16S ribosomal RNA". It matches the Rfam family "Bacterial small subunit ribosomal RNA", at positions 524 to 758 of the family's 1533-position model. The record is from RNAcentral.
GACGUAGGGCGCGAGCGUUGUCCGGAUUUAUUGGGCGUAAAGAGCUCGUAGGCGGCUUGUCGCGUCGAAUGUGAAAUCCCGUGGCUCAACUGCGGGUCUGCAUUCGAUAACGGGCAGGCUAGAGUUCGGUGAGGGGAGACGUGGAAUUCCUGGUGUAGCGGUGAAAUGACGUAGAUAUCAGGAGGAACACCGAUGGCGAAGGCAGGUCUCUGGGCUGACACUGACGCUCGAUGACACGAAA